Non-coding RNA from Pseudonaja textilis, 1394 nucleotides. The record is from RefSeq and is a predicted model, not a curated record. Lineage: Eukaryota; Metazoa; Chordata; Lepidosauria; Squamata; Elapidae.
CAAUUUUUCUUAGGGGUACCUUCAUGACCCUUUGCCUUUCAGAGCUUUGGAGUUUCAUGAUUCCUAGUUUACUAAUUGAAAAUUACAAGUUCUGAAGUUCAGUAUUUCUGGAAAUGCCAGGGUUCAUAAAGUUUUUUUAAUGUUUUAAAUGUUGGCUGCUUUUCAGUGUCUUCAACUGCAAUAAACUUUAAAAUGGAGACAUUGCAAAGGUUCUGGAUAAAUGGUUCUUAGGCCUAUAUUUCUGUAAGAUGUUUGAAUUUAAGAUAGUGGUGUCCAUUUCUUCUUUAAAAAUGGUAUUUUGCUUUUUUGUAUAACCGUUUGAGUAUGAAAUAGCUAAAAAAAUAGAAGAUAAAUUGACAAAACCUUUCUAAAAGGUGUUGAAUCUUCUACAAAAGAACACAUACACUGUUGCUUCUUUAUUCAUUGAAACCUUUUCUAAUCUUAAUCCCCUCAAAAGUGGUGCUUCAGUUUUUGAACAUGUCGGCUUCCCUGACUUCCUCUUUUAGUUAAAAAAUUGUUUUGAAAAAUCAGGAGAGAUUAAGAUAAGGAAACUUGGCAAAAGUCAAGGGGAAUUUCUACAAGCACUCCGCUUAAAAUUCUAGAUUUAGUACAUUUGUGAAAAUUUCUCUCAGGAUCACUGUUUUUAUAUUAAGAUUAGAAAAAAUGAACAAUACAAAAAUAAGCAAAUAUCAAACACUAGAGGCAAUUAAACAAAAACUAAUAGAAAUGGAAAAAAGCAUCAGAAACAAUACAAAACUUCUAAAAUAUAUAUAAAACACUUUUAAAAAAAAAAUCCCAUUGUACUAUGUUAUCAAUAGAAAGGCUACAAAGAUUGUCUAAGAUGCUACUAUCUUGCAGUAAAAUAUAAUACCACUAUCAAAAAAGAACACAUCCAUUCAUUCUCUUGUGUGAAAAUUUUGCCUUUUCCAAAGAGUAUAAAUUACAUAUUUCUCUUACUAUCACUUUUCCCAUUUUUUGAUGAACCAAUUUUUAGUUUCAAAUCCAUCAAUAUCAACCAUUUUAAUGUGGCAUUAUUGGAGAUUUCGUCCAUGAUUAACAAAGUCCAAUAGUAUCCACUUUAAAAAUGUUAACUUUUGGACUGGUUUACCAUUGUUGUAGUGUUUUCAAUUUCAGCAUGUUUUGAUGGCCCCAAAUAUGGGCCAAAUGCCUUGGCUAUUUGAAAGAUACUUGAAGUACUUUCUCAUGUGAUAGAAUCUACAAUGGAACUUAAAUGUCUCUUGAAUAUCCCCCCCCCCCCAGAUAUGGUUAUUUUGUUACCUUAUUGCUUCGCUCUGUUGCUAAGCAUGAUUUGGAGUUUUUAAAGUAAGUUGGAUCCAUAGUCUUUGCCUCAAAAGCUUUUUAAGAAGUAAAUAAGAAUUUGUUUUGUCUACACC